UACGGGGGGGGGCAAGCGUUGUUCGGAAUUACUGGGCGUAAAGGGCUCGUAGGUGGCCAACUAAGUCAGACGUGAAAUCCCUCGGCUUAACCGGGGAACUGCGUCUGAUACUGGAUGGCUUGAGAUUGGGAGAGGGAUGCGGAAUUCCAGGUGUAGCGGUGAAAUGCGUAGAUAUCUGGAGGAACACCGGUGGCGAAGGCGGCAUCCUGGACCAACACUGACACUGAGGAGCGAAAGCCAGGGGGAGCAAACGGG
RNAcentral lists this ribosomal RNA (255 nucleotides) under uncultured bacterium. RNAcentral's name for it is "partial 16S ribosomal RNA". It matches the Rfam family "Bacterial small subunit ribosomal RNA", at positions 524 to 776 of the family's 1533-position model. The record is from RNAcentral.